Molecule: ribosomal RNA, 1836 nt
Filed under: Salmonella enterica
Lineage: Bacteria; Pseudomonadati; Pseudomonadota; Gammaproteobacteria; Enterobacterales; Enterobacteriaceae
Description: partial 23S ribosomal RNA
Rfam family: Bacterial large subunit ribosomal RNA
Source: RNAcentral
CUGCGGCAGCGAACGUAUCACCCAAGACAACUUUACGGAGUUGACGAUUGACGGAGCGAAGCGACGUCAAAGCGUUCAUUAAAGUCGAGUUGGCUUAGGGAUACGUUCGUUGGGUAGGGGAGCGUUCUGUAAGCCUGUGAAGGUGUGUCGUGAGGCAUGCUGGAGGUAUCAGAAGUGCGAAUGCUGACAUAAGUAACGAUAAAGCGGGUGAAAAGCCCGCUCGCCGGAAGACCAAGGGUUCCUGUCCAACGUUAAUCGGGGCAGGGUGAGUCGACCCCUAAGGCGAGGCCGAAAGGCGUAGUCGAUGGGAAACGGGUUAAUAUUCCCGUACUUGGUGUUACUGCGAAGGGGGGACGGAGAAGGCUAUGUUGGCCGGGCGACGGUUGUCCCGGUUUAAGCGUGUAGGUGUGUGUUCCAGGUAAAUCCGGUUCACUUUAACACUGAGGCGUGACGACGAGGCACUACGGUGCUGAAGCAACAAAUGCCCUGCUUCCAGGAAAAGCCUCUAAGCAUCAGGUAACACGAAAUCGUACCCCAAACCGACACAGGUGGUCAGGUAGAGAAUACCAAGGCGCUUGAGAGAACUCGGGUGAAGGAACUAGGCAAAAUGGUGCCGUAACUUCGGGAGAAGGCACGCUGACACGUAGGUGAAGUGAUUUACUCAUGGAGCUGAAGUCAGUCGAAGAUACCAGCUGGCUGCAACUGUUUAUUAAAAACACAGCACUGUGCAAACACGAAAGUGGACGUAUACGGUGUGACGCCUGCCCGGUGCCGGAAGGUUAAUUGAUGGGGUCAGCGUAAGCGAAGCUCCUGAUCGAAGCCCCGGUAAACGGCGGCCGUAACUAUAACGGUCCUAAGGUAGCGAAAUUCCUUGUCGGGUAAGUUCCGACCUGCACGAAUGGCGUAAUGAUGGCCAGGCUGUCUCCACCCGAGACUCAGUGAAAUUGAACUCGCUGUGAAGAUGCAGUGUACCCGCGGCAAGACGGAAAGACCCCGUGAACCUUUACUAUAGCUUGACACUGAACAUUGAGCCUUGAUGUGUAGGAUAGGUGGGAGGCUUUGAAGUGUGGACGCCAGUCUGCAUGGAGCCGACCUUGAAAUACCACCCUUUAAUGUUUGAUGUUCUAACGUGGACCCGUAAUCCGGGUUGCGGACAGUGUCUGGUGGGUAGUUUGACUGGGGCGGUCUCCUCCUAAAGAGUAACGGAGGAGCACGAAGGUUGGCUAAUCCUGGUCGGACAUCAGGAGGUUAGUGCAAUGGCAUAAGCCAGCUUGACUGCGAGCGUGACGGCGCGAGCAGGUGCGAAAGCAGGUCAUAGUGAUCCGGUGGUUCUGAAUGGAAGGGCCAUCGCUCAACGGAUAAAAGGUACUCCGGGGAUAACAGGCUGAUACCGCCCAAGAGUUCAUAUCGACGGCGGUGUUUGGCACCUCGAUGUCGGCUCAUCACAUCCUGGGGCUGAAGUAGGUCCCAAGGGUAUGGCUGUUCGCCAUUUAAAGUGGUACGCGAGCUGGGUUUAGAACGUCGUGAGACAGUUCGGUCCCUAUCUGCCGUGGGCGCUGGAGAACUGAGGGGGGCUGCUCCUAGUACGAGAGGACCGGAGUGGACGCAUCACUGGUGUUCGGGUUGUCAUGCCAAUGGCACUGCCCGGUAGCUAAAUGCGGAAGAGAUAAGUGCUGAAAGCAUCUAAGCACGAAACUUGCCCCGAGAUGAGUUCUCCCUGAGACUUAGAGUCUCCUGAAGGAACGUUGAAGACGACGACGUUGAUAGGCCGGGUGUGUAAGCGCAGCGAUGCGUUGAGCUAACCGGUACUAAUGAACCGUGAGGCUUAACCUUACA